RNAcentral lists this ribosomal RNA (434 nucleotides) under uncultured Lachnospiraceae bacterium. Its description in RNAcentral is "bacterial SSU rRNA". It matches the Rfam family "Bacterial small subunit ribosomal RNA", at positions 341 to 792 of the family's 1533-position model. The record is from RNAcentral. Lineage: Bacteria; Bacillati; Bacillota; Clostridia; Lachnospirales; Lachnospiraceae.
ACGGGAGGCAGCAGUGGGGAAUAUUGCACAAUGGGGGAAACCCUGAUGCAGCAACGCCGCGUGAGUGAAGAAGUAUUUCGGUAUGUAAAGCUCUAUCAGCAGGGAAGAUAAUGACGGUACCUGACUAAGAAGCUCCGGCUAAAUACGUGCCAGCAGCCGCGGUAAUACGUAUGGAGCAAGCGUUAUCCGGAUUUACUGGGUGUAAAGGGUGCGUAGGCGGCAGAGCAAGUCAGAUGUGAAAGACCGGGGCUCAACCCCGGGGCUGCAUUUGAAACUGUUUUGCUGGAGUCCGGGAGAGGCAGGCGGAAUUCCUAGUGUAGCGGUGAAAUGCGUAGAUAUUAGGAGGAACACCAGUGGCGAAGGCGGCCUGCUGGACCGGAACUGACGCUGAGGCACGAAAGCGUGGGGAGCAAACAGGAUUAGAUACCCUGGUA